RNAcentral lists this small nuclear RNA (107 nucleotides) under Mola mola (ocean sunfish). The record is from RNAcentral. Lineage: Eukaryota; Metazoa; Chordata; Actinopteri; Tetraodontiformes; Molidae.
GUGUUAUUUUGGUAGCACAUAUACUGAAAUUGGAACGAUACACAGAAGAUUAGCAUGGCCCCUGCAGCAAGGAUGACACGCAAAUUCGUGAAGCGUUCUACCAUCUA